CUGGGAGUGAAAAAACACAGACAAAAACAUACAACAGAAACUCCAGCCCCGACAGUAAGUUUCCAGGCUGCCAGGAUGUUCUCGCUGUGAUGUGGAACCACCAGGAACUAAUCUGAGCAGACCUUCUGGAUCUCUUUGGUCCUGAACCUACUCCUUUCUUCUAUGGCCAACAGCCAUCUUUCUCCACAGAAACCAAACCUGACAUCAUUCUGAGCAGAACCAAAACCCAGAGUCUGCAAAGUCCCACAGAAAGACAGAACCCUGCGAUGGAUUGGCGACCUGCCCAGGCUGAACUCCGCCUCCUGCCCAUAGACUGCUGGAGAUAGGCACCAGCUCCCCCAUGACCCACUACGGAAGAAGCGGUAUAGAAGAUGAAUCAAUGAAUGAUAUCCUAUUUUAGUCAAUUAAAAGCAUGAUAAGAAGAACCUUAAAUGACUGGAACAUAUAAAUAUUACCAAUGACGUGGAUAUGAAGCUGAAACCAUCCAGAGAAAAGGAGAAGGUCAUGUUUCGUCCACCAUGAAGGAAGGAGCUGCAGUUCCUGUAUGUCUGAGAGGUCGAGGACAAGGAGGAGAAGGACACUUAAUUCCUGUCCCUAACACACACGCACACACACACAUUUCACGUCAGUCAGCAUUGAGCGCAGACACACUGCUCAUUUCCAAAACAAGCAGGGAAAAACGGGAGCAGGUCAAAGGUCGCAGACGGUGACGGAGUGAUGACAGGUGUUGGUUUCCUCUGUGGAAGAUCUUCACUCUCACUCUUCUUUCAUCUGUAAACCCCUCACUGUUCAUCCAGGGCUCAGGUCUUCAGCUUCUGCUUCCAAACAGUCAGAACCUCCUGAGAUGUUUUUCAAGGUUUUUAUCAAACGUUCUCCAAAGGAUUUUUUGGACUCUUUCUGCUGUUUCACUCAGUUUUAUCUGGGAAGCUGAAAACGUUUCCAGAUAAAGUUCAGCUUCGCUGCCUGAAAAAGGAUUCCUGUCUCGUUCUGACAUUCCAACAACAAACCUGAAUCUGUUUAUUGAGAUUCCAUGUUUCAGACCAACACAAACUAAAACAUAACUAGGACAUGAAACAAAUAAAAACAGGUUUUUAUGUUUCCAGCCCUCUUUACUCCAACUCACCUAAAUAAAGGAUCACUAACUGUUGCCUGCUCUCCUCCACAGGUAUGCAGUCA
Long non-coding RNA from Girardinichthys multiradiatus, 1176 nucleotides. RefSeq lists it as uncharacterized. The record is from RefSeq and is a predicted model, not a curated record. The transcript is spliced from 2 exons. Lineage: Eukaryota; Metazoa; Chordata; Actinopteri; Cyprinodontiformes; Goodeidae.